UGAGCCGGCCGGGCGACCGCGUUGCGCCGCUGGUCGGCGUACCGAGGAAGGUCCGGACUCUGCAGGGCAGGGUGGUGGGUAACGCCCACCCGAGGCGACUCGCGGGACAGUGCCACAGAAAGCAGACCGCCAACGGCUCCGACCGGUCGCGAGACCGGCCGGGGUGCGGGCAAGGGUGAAACGGUGGUGUAAGAGACCACCAGCGCCCCAGGCGACUGGGACGGCUCGGUAAACCCCACCCGGAGCAAGGCCAAGAGGGCCCGCUGCGCGAGCAGCCGGCCUGCGCGAACGUUCGAGGGCGGCCCGCCCGAGUUCGCGGGUAGGCCGCUGGAGGGCGCCGGCAACGGCGUCCCGAGAUGGAUGGUCGCCGGCGCCGGAACCGCAAGGGCCCGGCGUCACAGGAUCCGGCCUACACGCCGGCUCAUCCG
This 428-nucleotide RNase P RNA is filed under the name Actinomycetota bacterium. Its description in RNAcentral is "RNase P RNA component class A". It matches the Rfam family "Bacterial RNase P class A". From Rfam's summary of the family: Ribonuclease P (RNase P) is a ubiquitous endoribonuclease, found in archaea, bacteria and eukarya as well as chloroplasts and mitochondria. Its best characterised activity is the generation of mature 5'-ends of tRNAs by cleaving the 5'-leader elements of precursor-tRNAs. Lineage: Bacteria; Bacillati; Actinomycetota. The record is from RNAcentral.